CCACAGUAGCUCAGUGGUAGAGCUAUCGGCUGUUAACCGAUCGGUCGUAGGUUCGAGUCCUACCUGUGG
RNAcentral lists this transfer RNA (69 nucleotides) under Staphylococcus xylosus. RNAcentral describes it as "tRNA-Asn". It matches the Rfam family "tRNA". Rfam says of the family: Transfer RNA (tRNA) molecules are approximately 80 nucleotides in length. Their secondary structure includes four short double-helical elements and three loops (D, anti-codon, and T loops). Further hydrogen bonds mediate the characteristic L-shaped molecular structure. tRNAs have two regions of fundamental functional importance: the anti-codon, which is responsible for specific mRNA codon recognition, and the 3' end, to which the tRNAs corresponding amino acid is attached (by aminoacyl-tRNA synthetases). tRNAs cope with the degeneracy of the genetic code in two manners: having more than one tRNA (with a specific anti-codon) for a particular amino acid; and 'wobble' base-pairing, i.e. permitting non-standard base-pairing at the 3rd anti-codon position. Lineage: Bacteria; Bacillati; Bacillota; Bacilli; Caryophanales; Staphylococcaceae. RNAcentral also lists the same sequence under 1 other name. The record is from RNAcentral.